RNAcentral lists this microRNA precursor (78 nucleotides) under Cuculus canorus (common cuckoo). RNAcentral describes it as "mir-23 microRNA precursor family". It matches the Rfam family "mir-23 microRNA precursor family". The record is from Rfam by way of RNAcentral. Lineage: Eukaryota; Metazoa; Chordata; Aves; Cuculiformes; Cuculidae.
CGCCCGCGGGGGUUCCUGGUGAUGGGAUUUUUUUAUCGUUUGGCCCAAAAUCACAUUGCCAGGGAUUUCCAACGGGCG